UACGUAUGGGGCAAGCGUUAUCCGGAUUUACUGGGUGUAAAGGGAGCGUAGGCGGCCUGGCAAGCCUGAUGCGAAAUACCGGGGCCCAACCCCGGGGCUGCAUUGGGAACUGCCAGGCUGGAGUGCCGGAGAGGCAGGCGGAAUUCCUAGUGUAGCGGUGAAAUGCGUAGAUAUUAGGAGGAACACCAGUGGCGAAGGCGGCCUGCUGGACGGUGACUGACGCUGAGGCUCGAAAGCGUGGGGAGCAAACAGG
Molecule: ribosomal RNA, 253 nt
Filed under: uncultured bacterium
Lineage: Bacteria
Description: partial 16S ribosomal RNA
Rfam family: Bacterial small subunit ribosomal RNA
Source: RNAcentral